UACGUAGGGGGCGAGCGUUGUCCGGAUUCAUUGGGUUUAAAGGGAGCGUAGGUGGCCUUAUAAGUCAGUGGUGAAAUCUCUCGGCUUAACCGAGAAAUUGCCAUUGAUACUGUAGGGCUUGAGUAUAGUUGCCGUUGGCGGAAUAUGACAUGUAGUGGUGAAGUACAUAGAGAUGUCAUAGAACACCGAUUGCGAAGGCAGCUGACGAAACUAUAACUGACACUGAGGCUCGAAAGUGCGGGGAUCAAACAGG
Molecule: ribosomal RNA, 253 nt
Filed under: uncultured bacterium
Lineage: Bacteria
Description: partial 16S ribosomal RNA
Rfam family: Bacterial small subunit ribosomal RNA
Source: RNAcentral